CGAGGCCGAUAGGCGUAGGCGAUGGACAACAGGUAGAGAUUCCUGUACCAGUGCUAAUUGUUUAACCGAUGGGGUGACACAGAAGGAUAGGGAAUCGCACGAAUGGAAAUGUGCGUCCAAGCAGUGAGUGUGAGAAGUAGGCAAAUCCGCUUCUCGCGAAGCAUGAGCUGUGAUGGGGAAGGAAAUUAAGUACGGAAGUUCCUGAUUUCACGCUGUCAAGAAAAGCCUCUAGGAAGAGUAGUACUGCCCGUACCGCAAACCGACACAGGUAGAUGAGGAGAGAAUCCUAAGGUGAGCGAGAGAACUCUCGUUAAGGAACUCGGCAAAAUGACCCCGUAACUUCGGGAGAAGGGGUGCUCUAUUAGGGUGCAAGCCCGAGAGAGCCGCAGUGAAUAGGCCCAGGCGACUGUUUAGCAAAAACACAGGUCUCUGCAAAACCGUAAGGUGACGUAUAGGGGCUGACGCCUGCCCGGUGCUGGAAGGUUAAGAGGAGUGCUUAGCUUCGGCGAAGGUACGAAUUGAAGCCCCAGUAAACGGCGGCCGUAACUAUAACGGUCCUAAGGUAGCGAAAUUCCUUGUCGGGUAAGUUCCGACCCGCACGAAAGGCGCAACGAUCUGGGCACUGUCUCAACGAGAGACUCGGUGAAAUUAUAGUACCUGUGAAGAUGCAGGUUACCCGCGACAGGACGGAAAGACCCCGUGGAGCUUUACUGCAACCUGAUAUGGAAUGUUUGUACCGCUUGUACAGGAUAGGUAGGAGCCGAAGAGACGUGUGCGCUAGCAUACGAGGAGGCAAUGGUGGGAUAC
This 807-nucleotide ribosomal RNA is filed under the name Listeria monocytogenes. Its description in RNAcentral is "partial 23S ribosomal RNA". It matches the Rfam family "Bacterial large subunit ribosomal RNA", at positions 1397 to 2200 of the family's 2925-position model. The record is from RNAcentral. Lineage: Bacteria; Bacillati; Bacillota; Bacilli; Caryophanales; Listeriaceae.